GAUGAACGCUGGCGGCGUGCCUAAUACAUGCAAGUCGAGCGAACGGACGAGAAGCUUGCUUCUCUGAUGUUAGCGGAGGACGGGUGUGUCACACGUGGAUAAUCUACCUAUCAGACUGGGAUAACUUCGGGAAACCGGAGCUAAUCCCGGAUAAUCUUUUGCACCGCAUGGUUCAAAAGUAAAAGUCGGUCUUGCUGUCACUUCUCGCUGGAUCCGCGCUGCAUUAGCUAGUUGGGAAGGUAACGGCUUACCAAGGCAAGGAUGCAUAGCCGACGUGCGAGGCGGAUCGGCCACACGGGAACGGAGACACGGUCCAGACGCCUACGGUAGGCAGCAGUAGGGAAUCGGCCGCAAUGGGCGAAAGCCUUACGGAGCAACGCCGCGUGAGUGAUGAAAGUCUUCGGAUCGUAAAACUCUGUUAUUAGGGAAAAACAUAUGUGUAAGUAACUGUGCACAGCGUGACGGUACCUAAUCAGGAAGCCACGGCUAACUACGUG
RNAcentral lists this ribosomal RNA (497 nucleotides) under uncultured bacterium. Its description in RNAcentral is "partial 16S ribosomal RNA". It matches the Rfam family "Bacterial small subunit ribosomal RNA", at positions 28 to 507 of the family's 1533-position model. The record is from RNAcentral.